RNAcentral lists this ribosomal RNA (502 nucleotides) under uncultured bacterium. Its description in RNAcentral is "partial 16S ribosomal RNA". It matches the Rfam family "Bacterial small subunit ribosomal RNA", at positions 30 to 523 of the family's 1533-position model. The record is from RNAcentral.
AUUGAACGCUGGCGGCAGGCUUAACACAUGCAAGUCGAGCGGGGUGAUGGUGCUUGCACUAUCACUUAGCGGCGGACGGGUGAGUAAUGCUUAGGAAUCUGCCUAUUAGUGGGGGACAACAUCUCGAAAGGGAUGCUAAUACCGCAUACGUCCUACGGGAGAAAGCAGGGGAUCACUUGUGACCUUGCGCUAAUAGAUGAGCCUAAGUCGGAUUAGCUAGUUGGUGGGGUAAAGGCCUACCAAGGCGACGAUCUGUAGCGGGUCUGAGAGGAUGAUCCGCCACACUGGGACUGGGACACGGCCCAGACUCCUACGGGAGGCAGCAGUGGGGAAUAUUGGAGAUGGGGGGAACCCUGAUCCAGCCAUGCCGCGUGUGUGAAGAAGGCCUUAUGGUUGUAAAGCACUUUAAGCCAGGAGGAGGCUCUUUUGGUUAAUACCCAAGAUGAGUGGACGUUACUCGCAGAAUAAGCACCGGCUAACUCUGUGCCAGCAGCCGCAGUAA